This 1176-nucleotide long non-coding RNA is filed under the name Brassica napus (rape). RNAcentral describes it as "long non-coding RNA (BNAP_LNC025854)". The record is from RNAcentral. Lineage: Eukaryota; Viridiplantae; Streptophyta; Magnoliopsida; Brassicales; Brassicaceae.
CUUCCUUCCGACAUGUUCAGAAGACCCAGAGGGGAAAGACCCGAUGGUCGGAGAAAACGGAGGUGACGCAGCUCCAGGCUUGGACGAGGCAGCGGGUGAAGAGGGGGCGUGAGUUAUGAGGAUGACUUGGGUUAGAUCUUUUGCGAGAGAUUUUUUUUAUGUUUUUAUGUUUCGGCCUUGAAUGGCCUUGUUUUGUAUUUCGGGACUGGCUGUGUGGCUUUGAAUCCCUGUCGCUCCGCGGAUUUUAUUUUUAUGGUAAGAUAAUCGAAUGGCGCUUUUUAUGAGUUUGUGUGUAGCGGGGAGGAAGCUGAUGAGUUGUCGUCUCAUAUCCCUCUUCGAUUGUGAAAUGUUUCAUUCGAGAUCUGUUUCGAGAGUUUUUCCGCGAGAUGUGAAUUCUACGGGGGUGCUGAAGAUGUCGAAUAUAAACAUAGAGGUAUGGUUUAGGAAUCUCUUAUCUUUCGAUAUCAUGCCUUGAGAUGUUAGAGACCAGUGCGCUGGGUUUAGGACAAGACCUAGGUUUACUUUCGGUUUAAGGAUUGUGCGGUGACUAGCCGGCUAUCGUUUUUCCUGUUGCGAUUUCUUCCUGAUUCGUAUCGAUUUAAAGUCCGCGAUAGGUUCUCGGCUUAUACGACUUGUUUGAUACGAAUCGAGCAUCUCUCCGGAGACUGGAAGUGCUAGACCAAAAUUUUGGAUUUCUUUUAUAGCGCUAUUAUCCUUGUGUCGGAUGUAAGAGAGUCAUGUUCGUGAGAUGGCUAUGUCUGUUUAGGACGUUUGUGAGUUCGAUGUGAUCAGCAUCGGACUUGGUGGCGAAUGCCGUUGUUUUCUUUUAUUUUUAUUUUUUUGAUUUUUUUUGCGCAAAAUAAGUGUUAAUGUGUGCAUAUAUAUGUCUUUUUUGUGACGGAGGUUUCGUCUGUUCGGAAGAAAUAACCUUUGAGGCAUCUUUUGCGACGUCUCGCGAUGCUAAAGGUUGCUUCUCCUAAACGGCCGACUAAUUUCCGAAGACCUCGUACUGAUUUUACGGGUGAGGAUGUUUUGAUAAGUCGAAAACACCAAGAGCGUGGUAAGAAGUUUUGGCCGCGAUUUUUGGGAGUAUACGAGUAUACGUACCCACUCCCCCCCUUUUUAAUGAGGGAGGACAGCUGAAUUUGCCUUUCGGCAAACUGCCUACGUACUCCU